This is a long non-coding RNA of Frieseomelitta varia, 1453 nucleotides long. RefSeq lists it as uncharacterized. The transcript is spliced from 3 exons. The record is from RefSeq and is a predicted model, not a curated record. Lineage: Eukaryota; Metazoa; Arthropoda; Insecta; Hymenoptera; Apidae.
AGCGGUAAAUAGAUAACCUAACCUAAAUCUAGAUACCCCCUAAUUUAACUGUUAACCUAAUUAAACUAUGUGCAGCCGUCGGCAAAUUUUUGUUGGCCAACGAGAUCCAGAAGAUCUAGAAGGUUGGACGCUCAUGAUGCAGACCAUCGAGGCUAAUCUAAUCUUUCCGGGGCACGAGAACCGGGGCAAAACGUGCAAUUACGCUGUCCACCGUGCACGGUGCAGACAUGCAGUGGAAAUGGAUACCGUGACGUGAGUCGUGCCGUAGAUUCGAGUCGAGAAGCUUUUAAUCGAGAAAAGUCGAGACUCGAGCCGGACUUUGGCGAGUUUCCAAAGGGAGACCAAAGGGAAGCCAACACCACGCGCACCGUAGAUGCACACGCUUCCGAGACGCGAUAUUAAUUGAGACUCUGUACCGAUGGCGCGAUGAAUGGCCGGCGCAGGAGCGCGCCGCGUCUACCAAUUAGACCGGCAGCUCGCACAAAAGAGCAGCUUUGAUUUGCUCGCUCCGGUCCAAUUAGCUACUUUCUUUCGUGUCCCCCUUCCCCCUCCCUUCCUUCUCGUCAAUGCUAAUCCGCUCCUUCGGCCGGGCGAGUUAGUUUUUCGCCCGGGCCCAGCGAAGAAUAUUUCCCCCUCGGAAAAAGUCGAGAACCCGCGAGAGUGAAACGAAAACCUGGCUUCGAAGCGAAAAAAAAAAAAAAAGAACACGAGGCAAGACGGAGAAUCACCGACUUGGUUCAAUUUAGGUCAUUCUCAUUAUCCCUCUUAUCGAUCUCUAUACAUUGUACUUGCACGUCCUAUUCUGAAACGGCUAGCUGGAUACUUUCAUUCGGAUAUGAUGCAGCGCAGCUGAGCAAGAAAAAAAAAGAAAAAAUAAUCGGAUCGAAACGAAUUGGCCUUUUGCGAGAUAGCUCUACGGGUGAGAUGGCUCGAUCUGCUUAUGCAGUUUAUGGAAUGUCAAGUUUCAGCCUCUUCGUUUUUUAAUUAGUAUACAGGGUGGUCCGCGUUCAAGCCACCUGGAUAUCUUUUCGAAUUGAAAUGAUGGAAAAAAAUAUUUUAUUGCCUAAUAUGAAUGAUAUCGAAAGGCCAAUAAUUGAGAAUCGUGCCAACUGAAUAUAAAGGAAACUCUAACAAUAGCGGAAUUAUGAAUGGACAAAUGAAGGAUAUUGUUGGAUGCCGUAGAGACAGUUCAUACUGGCAGAGUGGACGUGAAUGCGGUAUUUUGACAUGUCAGAUCUUACCUUGAUGAAAAAUAAUAAUCACUCAAACAAAAACUUUGGGACUACCUUCGCUUCUUGGUGUGAAAAAUGAAAUAUCGAUUACACUUGAGACAUGAUAAGUCUUUCACAAAAAAAUUGGUGUCCACGCGUUUGAAGAGGAAAAAUUGUUCACAAAAGACAAAAAAAAAAAAAAAAAAAAAAAAAAAGAGAAGGAGACGCAUACUUACAGUGUC